CCUACGGGAGGCAGCAGUGAGGAAUAUUGGUCAAUGGCCGGUAGGCUGAACCAGCCAAGUCGCGUGAAGGAUGCAUGUCCUAUGCGUUGUACACUUCUUUUGUCUAGGGAUAAAGUCCAGUCUGUGUGCCUCUUUGCAUGUACUUUAUGAAUAAGGAUCGGCUAACUCCGUGCCAGCAGCCGCGGUAAUACGGAGGCUUCGAGCGUUAUCCGGAUUUAUUGGGUUUAAAGGGUUCGUAGGCGGGCUGUUAAGUCAGUUGGGAAAGUACGGGGCUCAACCCGAACAGGGCAGGUGAUACUGGCAGCCGUGAGUACAGGAGAGGUAGGCGGAAUGCGCGGUGUAGCGGUGAAAUGCUUAGAUAUUGCGAAGAACUCCGAGUGCGAAGGCAGCAUACCGGAGGGGAACUGACGCUGAGGCACGAAAGCGUGGGUAUCGAACAGGAUUAGAUACCCGAGUAGUC
RNAcentral lists this ribosomal RNA (460 nucleotides) under uncultured bacterium. RNAcentral's name for it is "partial 16S ribosomal RNA". It matches the Rfam family "Bacterial small subunit ribosomal RNA", at positions 338 to 795 of the family's 1533-position model. The record is from RNAcentral.